This 302-nucleotide ribosomal RNA is filed under the name uncultured bacterium. Its description in RNAcentral is "partial 16S ribosomal RNA". It matches the Rfam family "Bacterial small subunit ribosomal RNA", at positions 508 to 807 of the family's 1533-position model. The record is from RNAcentral.
GCAGUAGCCGCGGGAAAACGGAGGGGGCUAGCGUUGUUCGGAAUUACUGGGCGUAAAGCGCACGUAGGCGGCUUUGUAAGUCAGAGGUGAAAGCCUGGAGCUCAACUCCAGAAUUGCCUUUGAGACUGCAUCGCUUGAACGUCGGAGAGGUGAGUGGAAUUCCGAGUGUAGAGGUGAAAUUCGUAGAUAUUCGGAAGAACACCAGUGGCGAAGGCGGCUCACUGGACGACUGUUGACGCUGAGGUGCGAAAGCGUGGGGAGCAAACAGGAUUAGAUACCCCAGUAGUCCCUGUCUCUUAUAC